Molecule: ribosomal RNA, 253 nt
Filed under: uncultured bacterium
Lineage: Bacteria
Description: partial 16S ribosomal RNA
Rfam family: Bacterial small subunit ribosomal RNA
Source: RNAcentral
UACGCAGGGGGCUAGCGUUGCUCGGAAUCACUGGGCGUAAAGGGUGCGUAGGCGGGUCUUUAAGUCAGGGGUGAAAUCCUGGAGCUCAACUCCAGAACUGCCUUUGAUACUGAAGAUCUUGAGUUCGGGAGAGGUGAGUGGAACUGCGAGUGUAGAGGUGAAAUUCGUAGAUAUUCGCAAGAACACCAGUGGCGAAGGCGGCUCACUGGCCCGAUACUGACGCUGAGGCACGAAAGCGUGGGGAGCAAACAGG